Molecule: long non-coding RNA, 368 nt
Filed under: Gossypium raimondii (Peruvian cotton)
Lineage: Eukaryota; Viridiplantae; Streptophyta; Magnoliopsida; Malvales; Malvaceae
Description: long non-coding RNA (GRAI_LNC004154)
Source: RNAcentral
AAAAAAUGAAGGGGCACCCUCACGGAACUAUAGAACUUUCAGUUUUUUUACUGUACAGCAAUGCGUAGCAGACAUUUUAUAAAUGAGAGAGAAAUUAAUAAAACUAGAUGCAUGGUAUAAAAGAAACAGGCAAGGAUUUUGGCUUUAAAUAUUUGAGCUUUCUGCUAACAUGUUCCCCUAAAGCAGAGACAAAGAGGCAGUUGCUACAGCCCCCCCCCCCCGGCCCAAAAAAAAAAAAAAAAAUUAAGGCGUGGUCUGCACCCACAGGCCUAUCGGGCGGAGGGUACGGUUUGCGCCGAAUGCCGGCUAAAUAUCAGGAUCCUUUUUUGUGGGUGGGGUAGAUCCGACUACAUUCUUAACUCUCUCUC